UACGUAGGGAGCAAGCGUUGUCCGGAAUCAUUGGGCGUAAAGAGCGUGUAGGCGGCCCGGUAAGUCGGUUGUGAAAGUCAAGGGCUCAACCCUUGAAAGCCGACCGAUACUGUCGGGCUAGAAUCCGGAAGAGGCGAGUGGAAUUCCUGGUGUAGCGGUGAAAUGCGCAGAUAUCAGGAGGAACACCAAUGGCGAAGGCAGCUCGCUGGGACGGUAUUGACGCUGAGACGCGAAAGCGUGGGGAGCAAACAGG
RNAcentral lists this ribosomal RNA (253 nucleotides) under uncultured bacterium. RNAcentral describes it as "partial 16S ribosomal RNA". It matches the Rfam family "Bacterial small subunit ribosomal RNA", at positions 524 to 776 of the family's 1533-position model. The record is from RNAcentral.